GACGAACGCUGGCGGCGUGCCUAACACAUGCAAGUCGAACGGAAAGGCCCCUUUGGUGGUACUCUAGUGGCGAACGGGUGAGUAACACUUGAGUAACCUUCCCUUGACUUCGGGAUAACGUCAGGAAACUGGGGCUAAUACCGGAUAGGAAUCCUUUCUUCAUCGUGGGGGUUGGAAAGCUUCGGCGGUUUUGGAUGGAUUGGCGGCUUAUCAGCUUGUUGGUGGGGUGGUGGCUUACCAAGGCUUUUACGGGUAGCCGGACUGAGUGGGCGACCGGCGACAUUGGGUCCGAGAGGAGGCAGAGGCUGGUAAGGGAGGCAGAUGUGGGGAAUAUUGAACGAUCGGCGCAACGCUGGUGAAGAAGGGCUGCGGGUGGUAUGACGCUGUUCUGGUUGUAGAACACUUUCAGCAGGAGCGAAGCUUGUGGUGACGGUACCUAAAGAAGAAGCAACGGCUAACUACGUG
RNAcentral lists this ribosomal RNA (465 nucleotides) under uncultured bacterium. RNAcentral's name for it is "partial 16S ribosomal RNA". It matches the Rfam family "Bacterial small subunit ribosomal RNA", at positions 28 to 507 of the family's 1533-position model. The record is from RNAcentral.